AACGAACGCUGGCGGCAUGCCUAACACAUGCAAGUCGAACGGGAUCCAGCCUUCGGGUUGGUGAGAGUGGCGGACGGGUGAGUAACGCGUGGGAACCUGCCCAUUGGUCUGGGAUAACUGCGGGAAACUGCAGCUAAUACCGGAUGUACCCGAGAGGGGAAAGAUUUAUCGCCGAUGGAGGGGCCCGCGUCAGAUUAGGUAGUUGGUGAGGUAACGGCUCACCAAGCCUACGAUCUGUAGCUGGUCUGAGAGGAUGAUCAGCCACACUGGGACUGAGAUACGGCCCAGACUCCUACGGGAGGCAGCAGUGGGGAAUAUUGGACAAUGGGGGGCAACCCUGAUCCAGCAAUGCCGCGUGAGUGAUGAAGGCCUUAGGGUUGUAAAGCUCUUUUACCAGGGACGAUGAUGACGGUACCUGGAGAAUAAGCCCCCGGCUAACUUCGUGCCAGCAGCCGCGGU
This 459-nucleotide ribosomal RNA is filed under the name uncultured bacterium. RNAcentral's name for it is "bacterial SSU rRNA". It matches the Rfam family "Bacterial small subunit ribosomal RNA", at positions 29 to 521 of the family's 1533-position model. The record is from RNAcentral.